This 241-nucleotide long non-coding RNA is filed under the name Gossypium barbadense (sea-island cotton). Its description in RNAcentral is "long non-coding RNA (GBAR_LNC013671)". Lineage: Eukaryota; Viridiplantae; Streptophyta; Magnoliopsida; Malvales; Malvaceae. The record is from RNAcentral.
AACUUUCAUGCAUGCCUAACUUUCCUAAAGAACUAAAAUUUUAUGGUAUGAUUUGCAUGCUUUAUUAGAAAUACAUUUCAUGUCAUUAUUAAGCUAACAUAACAAUUUAUUGAAAUAAUCAAAUUUUAUUCAUACUUAAAUUUAGCUUACUUAACAAAAUUCGAAUUUAUUGAAUAAUAAUAUAUCAUAUUCUUAAUUAAAAGAAAAAAUUUAUUCUGAGUGGAAAUAAUUUCAAUUUUUG